GUCAACGGCCAUAUCAUGCUGAAUUCACCAGUUCUCGUCUGAUCACUGAAGUUAAGCAGCAUUGAGCGUGGUUAGUACUUGGAUGGGUGACCGCUUGGGAACACCACGUGCUGUUGGCAUUU
Molecule: ribosomal RNA, 122 nt
Filed under: Microplitis demolitor
Lineage: Eukaryota; Metazoa; Arthropoda; Insecta; Hymenoptera; Braconidae
Source: RNAcentral